UAAAGCUAGGUUUGUGGUUGAAAGUCGAUGCUAGUCGCAGGCAAAACGAUCCACUUAAGUUAGAUAAAAUGUCUAAUGAGCAUGGUGCGGUAUAGAAGUGAGUCCUGCCAUUCAUGAAGAGUGAGAGGGUUAGUAGUGAGGAAUUAACUUUUAGUAGCAAAAGCUCCAGCAGGCGAGUGUGGGGGCAAAAACCAGGUCAACUAGCUUUA
This is a non-coding RNA of Clostridium botulinum B, 209 nucleotides long. The record is from Rfam. NCBI's taxonomy places the organism in Bacteria, Bacillati, Bacillota, Clostridia, Eubacteriales, Clostridiaceae.